Brassica napus (rape) is the source of this 584-nucleotide long non-coding RNA. RefSeq lists it as uncharacterized. The record is from RefSeq and is a predicted model, not a curated record. Lineage: Eukaryota; Viridiplantae; Streptophyta; Magnoliopsida; Brassicales; Brassicaceae. The transcript has 2 exons.
CAGUGGAUUUAGAAGAGACAAGAAGACAUGCACAUCGAGUGAAAUACUCUGAAUCUAGCUGGUUUUGCACAUUAUGCGGAGAUGGUGUUGUACCCAGAAUAAUGCCAUGCCGUAUGUAUCAUGGCGAAAGUUCUGAAGGCAAAAUCUUUGACGGUUUUACUAAGCAUAUCAAAGAGUAGAGAUCAUGCGGAACAUGAGAUGGAGAGGGUGAGAUAUCCUUUAAGCAUUGAUAUGGAGCGUCUUUAUGCUAAAUUAGGUAGAGGAAAAACUGAAGAUGGUGGAGAAGAAGAGGGAGAAGAAGAAGAAGAAGAAGAAGAAGAUUAUUAUGCUGAUUAUGAGUGGGAUCACCUCUCCGUCUAGAGAUAAUAAUCUAUAGAUCACUUGCAUAGGAUGCCCCAAAGGGUGCGGGGGUGUUGUUCUUUAUCGCAUUUCAUAAUUUGUGUGGUUUAUUCACACUAAUACUAGAGACUUGCUUAUUUUCAUCUCUUUUUUUUUGUCAACUUGUUUCCAUUACGGUUUCUAACUCCAGUAGAAUUAUUAUUGUAUUUUCAGCGAUUUUUCUUUCUAAUUUAUCGUAAAUAGUA